AACAAAGGUUUCCGUAGGUGAACCUGCGGAAGGAUCAUU
Molecule: ribosomal RNA, 39 nt
Filed under: Sporobolus pumilus
Lineage: Eukaryota; Viridiplantae; Streptophyta; Magnoliopsida; Poales; Poaceae
Description: partial 18S ribosomal RNA
Source: RNAcentral